CUUUUAGUAUAAGUAUGGCCCAUGCAAUAUUUGGGCUAUACUUAUACUAACA
Non-coding RNA from Macaca mulatta (Rhesus monkey), 52 nucleotides. The record is from Rfam. NCBI's taxonomy places the organism in Eukaryota, Metazoa, Chordata, Mammalia, Primates, Cercopithecidae.